RNAcentral lists this ribosomal RNA (301 nucleotides) under uncultured bacterium. RNAcentral describes it as "partial 16S ribosomal RNA". It matches the Rfam family "Bacterial small subunit ribosomal RNA", at positions 509 to 807 of the family's 1533-position model. The record is from RNAcentral.
CAGCAGCCGCGGUAAUACGUAGGUGGCAAGCGUUGUCCGGAAUUAUUGGGCGUAAAGGGCUCGCAGGCGGUUUCUUAAGUCUGAUGUGAAAGCCCCCGGCUCAACCGGGGAGGGUCAUUGGAAACUGGGAAACUUGAGUGCAGAAGAGGAGAGUGGAAUUCCACGUGUAGCGGUGAAAUGCGUAGAGAUGUGGAGGAACACCAGUGGCGAAGGCGAUUCUCUGGUCUGUAACUGACGCUGAGGAGCGAAAGCGUGGGGAGCGAACAGGAUUAGAUACCCGCGUAGUCCCUGUCUCUUAUAC